GAAAUGCGAUACGUAAUGUGAAUUGCAGAUUUCAGUGAAUCAUCGAAUCUUUGAACGCACAUUGCGCCCGCUAGUAUUCUGGCGGGCAUGCCUGUUCGAGCGUCAUUUCAACCAUCAAGCCCCCCAGGCUUGUGUUGGGGACCUGCGGCUGCCCGCAGGCCCUGAAAACCAGUGGCGGGCUCGCCGUCACCCCGAGCGUAGUAGCAUACACCUCGCUCAGGGCGUGCUGCGGGUUCCGGCCGUUAAAACGCCUUUCUUUUACCCAAGGUUGACCUCGGAUCAGGUAGGAAGACCCGCUGAACUUAA
RNAcentral lists this unclassified non-coding RNA (306 nucleotides) under uncultured Sordariomycetes. Its description in RNAcentral is "sequence contains ITS1". The stretch from base 1 to 105 matches the Rfam family "5.8S ribosomal RNA", at positions 50 to 154 of the family's 154-position model. The record is from RNAcentral. Lineage: Eukaryota; Fungi; Ascomycota; Sordariomycetes.